CCUGCAGCAGAGGAAACUCUCAGCGGGGAAACAGAUCACUGCCACACGCUCUCCGCGUGUGUCCCUCUCUAAACCCUCCGUGCGGAAACCACAUCCUCCCUCCGUGCUCCGCCGUCAUUCGUCCAGGUCGAAGCCGCCGGUGAGAUCGUGUCGCUGGCGGACUGGAGCAGCGAGAGCCGCGUGUGAAUGACCAGCUCCACCUCCACCUGAGGACCGAGAGGGGCGAGUCCACCGCCCGGUCCCCUCUCGCCGCUUAGCCGGCCACAGACGCGCAAGUGUGGGGAUACGGAGGUUACCGAACCGGGUCGCUCGCCGCCGUGGAUCGCUGCCCUUUCCCCGCUCCAACACGAGUGCCUCUCUGCCGCCCCCUGGUGACCAUGCAGAGUCUCUGUGCGGUGGUCGUGGCGCUGGCCGCUGUCGCCCUCAGCUCAGCGGACUUGGACACACACAGACCCAGACAUGACUCCAACCUGGAGAUCUACAAGCGGCUGUUUGAGACCAAGAGGAAAGAUCAACUGAACGCUCUGAAGAACCUGGUGGAGCUGAACGACAUUAACCAGCAGUACAAGAUCAUAGACAUCAUGCUCAAAGGACUCUUCAAGGUAGGAC
Molecule: non-coding RNA, 609 nt
Organism: Paralichthys olivaceus (Japanese flounder)
Lineage: Eukaryota; Metazoa; Chordata; Actinopteri; Pleuronectiformes; Paralichthyidae
Source: RefSeq, a predicted model, not a curated record